UGUCUCUACACCACAGAUUUGAGACUCAUUUAUCCUAAAGGGAGGUGAUCCGUGCAUCGAUCUUGAAUGGAUUGAUCACUAUCUUCCAUGACGAUCCUUCAAUCGGAAGCAUUUAAAAAUUAAGCACUAAUAAUGUAUGUCUCAAAUUUUUAACACCUUGAGAAUAUAUAAAAUUAUCUUUAUUAAUUUUUAAAAUAAAUCAUGGAUACAUAAAUAUGAUUGGUUAUUAAGACUGCCCAACAAGUACAAAACAUGCUCUAGAGAAAAGUAUAUGUCAGCCAA
RNAcentral lists this long non-coding RNA (282 nucleotides) under Elaeis guineensis (African oil palm). RNAcentral's name for it is "long non-coding RNA (EGUI_LNC042474)". The record is from RNAcentral. Lineage: Eukaryota; Viridiplantae; Streptophyta; Magnoliopsida; Arecales; Arecaceae.